GUCUAUGGCCAUACCACCCUGACUGCACCCGGUCUCGUCUGAUCUCGGAAGCUAAACAGGGUCGGGCCUGGUUAGUACUUGAAUGGGAGAAGUCGACUUCCUCAGUUCAGCUAAGUUAGUUAUCGCUU
Non-coding RNA from Macaca mulatta (Rhesus monkey), 128 nucleotides. NCBI's taxonomy places the organism in Eukaryota, Metazoa, Chordata, Mammalia, Primates, Cercopithecidae. The record is from Rfam.